CCCUUAGAUGUUCUGGGCAGCACGCGCGCUACAAUGGUCUUCGCAAACGGAUGCAUUCUCGAAGGAGAAUGCCAAUCUUGGAAUCUAUGCCUUGGUCGGGACAGUUGCUUGAAAUUUUUCGACUCGAACCAGGAAUUCCUUGUAAUCGUGAUUCAUCACAUCACGAUGAAUACGUCCCUGCCCUUUGUACACACCGCCCGUCGCUCCUACCGAUCGAAGAGUUAGGUGAAUUGUUUUGAUCGAUAAGAUUUGACUAUGGUCAACUCUCGUUGUGAAAUUCUGUGAAUCUGACUGUUUAGAGGAAGGAAAAGUCGUAACA
Molecule: ribosomal RNA, 319 nt
Filed under: uncultured eukaryote
Lineage: Eukaryota
Description: partial 18S ribosomal RNA
Rfam family: Eukaryotic small subunit ribosomal RNA
Source: RNAcentral